CGGGAUUAAAGACCUGCUUCCAUUCUUCCAUUCUUCCUUUUCCCCUGCCCUGAUUUGCAGGGUCAUUCCUGGAGCGCCCCCGCCCCCAGCUCCCUCUCACUCCCUUCCUUUUCACGAUUCCAGAGCACCCUUCUCAGGAGCCGGGAUGUGCAGGGGCCGUUCUGCAGGUGCAGUUCUUCCAUCGAGCUUCUUCAGCUGGGAAACCGCGGGCCAGGCCCGUUUGCUCUGCCGGCUCCAUAAAGAGGAUGCACAAUCUAACAACGUCUUGAAAAUGAUUUAAGUAAAGCCACGUGUUCUUAACUCGGAUUUUUCUUGCAUAACAUGAUGAAUAUGGAAAGGUGUUUAGAAGAAAUGAAGAUGUUUAACCUAUAGCGGACUGUUUCUGUUCAUGGGGGAAAGGAGAGAGAAAAAUUUGUAACAAGAGGUUGUUGAAAUGUUGAAAAUGUUUAAAUGUUGAAUAUUGAAAACUAUCUUUGCAUGUAUUUGAAAAAAUAAAAUACUAUUAAAAUUUUUAAAAA
Molecule: long non-coding RNA, 518 nt
Organism: Antechinus flavipes (yellow-footed antechinus)
Lineage: Eukaryota; Metazoa; Chordata; Mammalia; Dasyuromorphia; Dasyuridae
Exons: 2
Source: RefSeq, a predicted model, not a curated record